Molecule: ribosomal RNA, 483 nt
Filed under: uncultured bacterium
Lineage: Bacteria
Description: partial 16S ribosomal RNA
Rfam family: Bacterial small subunit ribosomal RNA
Source: RNAcentral
GACGAACGCUGGCGGCGUGCUUAACACAUGCGAGUCGAACGCUGAAGCUCAGCUUUUGUUGGGUGGAUGAGUGGCGAACGGGUGAGUAACACGUGAGUAACCUGCCCCCUUCUUUGGGAUAACGCCCGGAAACGGGUGCUAAUACUGGAUAUUCACUGGUCUUCGCAUGGGGGUUGGUGGAAAGGGUUUUUCUGGUGGGGGAUGGGCUCGCGGCCUAUCAGCUUGUUGGUGGGGUGAUGGCCUACCAAGGCUUUGACGGGUAGCCGGCCUGAGAGGGUGACCGGUCACAUUGGGACUGAGAUACGGCCCAGACUCCUACGGGAGGCAGCAGUGGGGAAUAUUGCACAAUGGGCGCAAGCCUGAUGCAGCGACGCCGCGUGAGGGAUGGGGGCCUUCGGGUUGUGAACCUCUUUCGCUCAUGGUCAAGCCGCAACAAUGGUUGUGGUGAGGGUAGUGGGUAAAGAAGCGCCGGCUAACUACGUG